GGCGGCGUGCCUAAUACAUGCAAGUCGAGCGAAUGAUGAAGAAGCUUGCUUCUUCUGAUUUAGCGGCGGACGGGUGAGUAACACGUGGGCAACCUGCCCUGUAGAUUGGGAUAACUCCGGGAAACCGGGGCUAAUACCGAAUAAUCCAUUUCCUCACAUGUGGAGAUGUUAAAAGACGGUUUCGGCUGUCACUACAGGAUGGGCCCGCGGCGCAUUAGCUAGUUGGUGAGGUAACGGCUCACCAAGGCGACGAUGCGUAGCCGACCUGAGAGGGUGAUCGGCCACACUGGGACUGAGACACGGCCCAGACUCCUACGGGAGGCAGCAGUAGGGAAUCUUCCACAAUGGACGAAAGUCUGAUGGAGCAACGCCGCGUGAGUGAAGAAGGUUUUCGGAUCGUAAAACUCUGUUGUGAGGGAAGAACAAGUACGAGAGUAACUGCUCGUACCUUGACGGUACCUCAUUAGAAAGCCACGGCUAACUACGUGCCAGCAGCCGCGGUAAUACGUAGGUGGCAAGCGUUGUCCGGAAUUAUUGGGCGUAAAGCGCGCGCAGGCGGUCCUUUAAGUCUGAUGUGAAAGCCCACGGCUCAACCGUGGAAGGUCAUUGGAAACUGGGGGACUUGAGUGCAGAAGAGGAAAGUGGAAUUCCAAGUGUAGCGGUGAAAUGCGUAGAGAUUUGGAGGAACACCAGUGGCGAAGGCGACUUUCUGGUCUGUAACUGACGCUGAGGCGCGAAAGCGUGGGGAGCAAACAGGAUUAGAUACCCUGGUAGUCCACGCCGUAAACGAUGAGUGCUAAGUGUUAGGGGGUUUCCGCCCCUUAGUGCUGCAGCUAACGCAUUAAGCACUCCGCCUGGGGAGUACGGUCGCAAGACUGAAACUCAAAGGAAUUGACGGGGGCCCGCACAAGCGAUGGAGCAUGUGGUUUAAUUCGAAGCAACGCGAAGAACCUUACCAGGUCUUGACAUCCCGCUGACCGUUCUAGAGAUAGAUCUUUCCCUUCGGGGACAGCGGUGACAGGUGGUGCAUGGUUGUCGUCAGCUCGUGUCGUGAGAUGUUGGGUUAAGUCCCGCAACGAGCGCAACCCUUGAUCUUAGUUGCCAGCAUUCAGUUGGGCACUCUAAGGUGACUGCCGGUGAUAAACCGGAGGAAGGUGGGGAUGACGUCAAAUCAUCAUGCCCCUUAUGACCUGGGCUACACACGUGCUACAAUGGACGGUACAGAGGGUCGCAACCCCGCGAGGGUGAGCUAAUCCCAUAAAACCGUUCUCAGUUCGGAUUGUAGGCUGCAACUCGCCUACAUGAAGCCGGAAUCGCUAGUAAUCGUGGAUCAGCAUGCCACGGUGAAUACGUUCCCGGGCCUU
This 1364-nucleotide ribosomal RNA is filed under the name Bacillus sp. YR31. RNAcentral describes it as "bacterial SSU rRNA". It matches the Rfam family "Bacterial small subunit ribosomal RNA", at positions 38 to 1382 of the family's 1533-position model. The record is from RNAcentral. Lineage: Bacteria; Bacillati; Bacillota; Bacilli; Caryophanales; Bacillaceae.